UUAGUCAGUGUAGCAUUUAAA
Non-coding RNA from Caenorhabditis elegans, 21 nucleotides. NCBI's taxonomy places the organism in Eukaryota, Metazoa, Nematoda, Chromadorea, Rhabditida, Rhabditidae. The record is from Ensembl.